Molecule: unclassified non-coding RNA, 306 nt
Filed under: plant metagenome
Description: partial contains 5.8S ribosomal RNA, internal transcribed spacer 2, and large subunit ribosomal RNA
Rfam family: 5.8S ribosomal RNA (bases 1-105)
Source: RNAcentral
GAAAUGCGAUAAGUAAUGUGAAUUGCAGAAUUCAGUGAAUCAUCGAAUCUUUGAACGCACAUUGCGCCCGCCAGUAUUCUGGCGGGCAUGCCUGUCCGAGCGUCAUUUCAACCAUCAAGCCCCCGGUCUUGUGUUGGGGACCUGCGGCUGCCCGCAGGCCCUGAAAACCAGUGGCGGGCUCGCUGUCACACCGAGCGUAGUAGCAAUCACCUCGCUCAGGGCGUGCUGCGGGUUCCGGCCGUUAAACAGCCUUACAAAACCCAAGGUUGACCUCGGAUCAGGUAGGAAGACCCGCUGAACUUAAGC